Molecule: ribosomal RNA, 889 nt
Filed under: Halobyssothecium phragmitis
Lineage: Eukaryota; Fungi; Ascomycota; Dothideomycetes; Pleosporales; Lentitheciaceae
Description: partial large subunit ribosomal RNA
Rfam family: Eukaryotic large subunit ribosomal RNA
Source: RNAcentral
GGAGGAAAAGAAACCAACAGGGAUUGCCCUAGUAACGGCGAGUGAAGCGGCAACAGCUCAAAUUUGAAAUCUGGCCUCCUUUGGUGGUCCGAGUUGUAAUUUGCAGAGGGUGCUUUGGCGUCGGCAGCGGUCUAAGUUCCUUGGAACAGGACAUCACAGAGGGUGAGAAUCCCGUACGUGGUCGCCUGCCUUCGCCGUGUAAAGCCCCUUCGACGAGUCGAGUUGUUUGGGAAUGCAGCUCUAAAUGGGAGGUAAAUUUCUUCUAAAGCUAAAUACCGGCCAGAGACCGAUAGCGCACAAGUAGAGUGAUCGAAAGAUGAAAAGCACUUUGGAAAGAGAGUCAAACAGCACGUGAAAUUGUUGAAAGGGAAGCGCUUGCAGCCAGACUUGCCCGCAGUUGCUCAUCGGAUCUUUUGCUCCGAGCACUCUUCUGCGGGCAGGCCAGCAUCAGUUUGGGCGACCGGAUAAUGGCCUCUGUCAUGUAUCUUCCUUCGGGAUGACCUUAUAGGGGAGGCGUAAUGCGGCCAGCCCGGACUGAGGUCCGCGCAUCUGCUAGGAUGCUGGCGUAAUGGCUGUAAGCGGCCCGUCUUGAAACACGGACCAAGGAGUCUAACAUCUAUGCGAGUGUUUGGGUGUCAAGCCCGGGCGCGUAAUGAAAGUGAACGGAGGUGGGAACCCUCUCGGGGGUGCACCAUCGACCGAUCCUGAUGUCUUCGGAUGGAUUUGAGUAAGAGCAUAGCUGUUGGGACCCGAAAGAUGGUGAACUAUGCUUGAAUAGGGUGAAGCCAGAGGAAACUCUGGUGGAGGCUCGCAGCGGUUCUGACGUGCAAAUCGAUCGUCAAAUUUGGGCAUAGGGGCGAAAGACUAAUCGAACUAUCUAGUAGCUGGG